Molecule: ribosomal RNA, 208 nt
Filed under: Staphylococcus epidermidis
Lineage: Bacteria; Bacillati; Bacillota; Bacilli; Caryophanales; Staphylococcaceae
Description: partial 16S ribosomal RNA
Rfam family: Bacterial small subunit ribosomal RNA
Source: RNAcentral
GGAAUCGCUAGUAAUCGUAGAUCAGCAUGCUACGGUGAAUACGUUCCCGGGUCUUGUACACACCGCCCGUCACACCACGAGAGUUUGUAACACCCGAAGCCGGUGGAGUAACCAUUUGGAGAGCUAGCCGUCGAAGGUGGGACAAAUGAUUGGGGUGAAGUCGUAACAAGGUAGCCGUAUCGGAAGGUGCGGCUGGAUCACCUCCUUU